GCCUGAGUAGCUCAAUGGUAGAGCAACGCUUUUGUAAAGCGUAGAUUGUCGGUUCGAGUCCGACCUCAGGCU
This 72-nucleotide transfer RNA is filed under the name Candidatus Terrybacteria bacterium RIFCSPHIGHO2_01_FULL_48_17. Its description in RNAcentral is "tRNA-Thr". It matches the Rfam family "tRNA". From Rfam's summary of the family: Transfer RNA (tRNA) molecules are approximately 80 nucleotides in length. Their secondary structure includes four short double-helical elements and three loops (D, anti-codon, and T loops). Further hydrogen bonds mediate the characteristic L-shaped molecular structure. tRNAs have two regions of fundamental functional importance: the anti-codon, which is responsible for specific mRNA codon recognition, and the 3' end, to which the tRNAs corresponding amino acid is attached (by aminoacyl-tRNA synthetases). tRNAs cope with the degeneracy of the genetic code in two manners: having more than one tRNA (with a specific anti-codon) for a particular amino acid; and 'wobble' base-pairing, i.e. permitting non-standard base-pairing at the 3rd anti-codon position. The record is from RNAcentral. Lineage: Bacteria; Candidatus Terryibacteriota. RNAcentral also lists the same sequence under 1 other name.